GUGUCCUAAAGUUGCAUCAAUUAAUUGAUCGAUCUUCAACAAAGAAAAACUGUUCUUCGAACAAGCUUCAUUUAGAUUUGUAUAGUCGAUGUAGAUUCUUCAUUUUUCAUUAAUUUUUCUCACCAUCACUACAUUGGCGAGCCAAUCGAGAUAAUUAGCUUCUCUGAUGAAGCCAGUCGCAAGAAGUUUGUCGACUUCUUCAUCGAUGAC
Molecule: long non-coding RNA, 210 nt
Filed under: Elaeis guineensis (African oil palm)
Lineage: Eukaryota; Viridiplantae; Streptophyta; Magnoliopsida; Arecales; Arecaceae
Description: long non-coding RNA (EGUI_LNC007122)
Source: RNAcentral